CAGUCGCCGCGGUAAUACGUAGGGUGCAAGCGUUAAUCGGAAUUACUGGGCGUAAAGCGUGCGCAGGCGGUGUUGUAAGAUUGAUGUGAAAUCCCCGGGCUCAACCUGGGAACUGCAUUGGUGACUGCAACGCUGGAGUGCGGCAGAGGGGGAUGGAAUUCCGCGUGUAGCAGUGAAAUGCGUAGAUAUGCGGAGGAACACCGAUGGCGAAGGCAAUCCCCUGGGCCUGCACUGACGCUCAGGUGCGAAAGCGUGGGUAGCAAACAGGAUUAGAUACCCGGGUAGUCCCUGUCUCUUAUAC
This 301-nucleotide ribosomal RNA is filed under the name uncultured bacterium. RNAcentral describes it as "partial 16S ribosomal RNA". It matches the Rfam family "Bacterial small subunit ribosomal RNA", at positions 509 to 807 of the family's 1533-position model. The record is from RNAcentral.